AUUGAACGCUGGCGGCAUGCCUUACACAUGCAAGUCGAACGGUAACGGGUCCUUCGGGAUGCCGACGAGUGGCGAACGGGUGAGUAAUAUAUCGGAACGUGCCCAGUAGUGGGGGAUAACUGCCCGAAAGAGCAGCUAAUACCGCAUACGACCUGAGGGUGAGAGGGGGGGAUCGCAAGACCUCUCGCUAUUGGAGCGGCCGAUAUCAGAUUAGCUAGUUGGUGGGGUAAAGGCCUACCAAGGCAACGAUCUGUAGUUGGUCUGAGAGGACGACCAGCCACACUGGGACUGAGACACGGCCCAGACUCCUACGGGAGGCAGCAGUGGGGAAUUUUGGACAAUGGGCGCAAGCCUGAUCCAGCAAUGCCGCGUGCAGGAAGAAGGCCUUCGGGUUGUAAACUGCUUUUGUCAGGGGAGAAAUCUUCUGGGCUAAUACCCCGGGAGGAUGACGGUACCUGAAGAAUAAGCACCGGCUAACUACGUGCCAGCCGCCGCAGUAA
RNAcentral lists this ribosomal RNA (500 nucleotides) under uncultured bacterium. RNAcentral's name for it is "partial 16S ribosomal RNA". It matches the Rfam family "Bacterial small subunit ribosomal RNA", at positions 30 to 523 of the family's 1533-position model. The record is from RNAcentral.